Molecule: ribosomal RNA, 1447 nt
Filed under: uncultured bacterium
Lineage: Bacteria
Description: bacterial SSU rRNA
Rfam family: Bacterial small subunit ribosomal RNA
Source: RNAcentral
AGAGUUUGAUCCUGGCUCAGGAUGAACGCUGGCGGCGUGCUUAACACAUGCAAGUCGAACGAACCUCCGGGUUAGUGGCGGACGGGUGAGUAACGCGUGAGAAUCUGCCCUCAGGAGGGGGACAACAGCUGGAAACGGCUGCUAAUACCCCAUAUGCCGCGAGGUGAAAUGAAUUUCGCCUGAGGAUGAGCUCGCGUCUGAUUAGCGAGUUGGUGUAGGUAAUGGCUCACCAAGGCAUCGAUCAGUAGCUGGUCUGAGAGGAUGAUCAGCCACACUGGGACUGAGACACGGCCCAGACUCCUACGGGAGGCAGCAGUGGGGAAUUUUCCGCAAUGGGCGAAAGCCUGACGGAGCAACGCCGCGUGAGGGAUGAAGGCCUCUGGGCUGUAAACCUCUUUUAUCAAGGAAGAAGAUCUGACGGUACUUGAUGAAUAAGCCACGGCUAAUUCCGUGCCAGCAGCCGCGGUAAUACGGGAGUGGCAAGCGUUAUCCGGAAUUAUUGGGCGUAAAGCGUCCGCAGGCGGCCCUUCAAGUCUGCUGUUAAAAAGUGGAGCUUAACUCCAUCACGGCAGUGGAAACUGUUGGGCUUGAGUGUGGUAGGGGCAGAGGGAAUCCCCGGUGUAGCGGUGAAAUGCGUAGAUAUCGGGAAGAACACCAGUGGCGAAGGCGCUCUGCUGGGCCAUCACUGACGCUCAUGGACGAAAGCCAGGGGAGCGAAAGGGAUUAGAUACCCCUGUAGUCCUGGCCGUAAACGAUGAACACUAGGUGUCGGGGGAAUCGACCCCCUCGGUGUCGUAGCCAACGCGUUAAGUGUUCCGCCUGGGGAGUACGCACGCAAGUGCGAAACUCAAAGGAAUUGACGGGGGCCCGCACAAGCGGUGGAGUAUGUGGUUUAAUUCGAUGCAACGCGAAGAACCUUACCAGGGUUUGACAUCCUGCGAAUCUCUUGGAAACAGGAGAGUGCCUUCGGGAACGCAGUGACAGGUGGUGCAUGGCUGUCGUCAGCUCGUGUCGUGAGAUGUUGGGUUAAGUCCCGCAACGAGCGCAACCCACGUCUUUAGUUGCCAGCAUUUAGUUGGGCACUCUAGAGAGACUGCCGGUGAUAAACCGGAGGAAGGUGUGGAUGACGUCAAGUCAUCAUGCCCCUUACAUCCUGGGCUACACACGUACUACAAUGCUACGGACAAAGGGCAGCAAGUUCGCGAGGACAAGCAAAUCCCAUAAACCGUGGCUCAGUUCAGAUCGUAGGCUGCAACUCGCCUACGUGAAGGCGGAAUCGCUAGUAAUCGCAGGUCAGCAUACUGCGGUGAAUACGUUCCCGGGCCUUGUACACACCGCCCGUCACACCAUGGAAGUUGGCCACGCCCGAAGCCGUUACUCCAACCCUUGUGGAGGAGGACGUCGAAGGUGGGGCUGAUGACUGGGGUGAAGUCGUAACAAGGUAACC